CAGUAGCGUAUAUUUAAGUUGCUGCAGUUAAAAAGCUCGUAGUUGGAUUUCGGGUGGGAAUGGCCGGUCCGCCGUUUCGGUGUGCACUUGCUACGCCCACCUUGCUGCCGGGGACGUGCUCUUGAGUUCACGCUCGGGACACGGAGUCGGCGAGGUUACUUUGAGUAAAUUAGAGUGUUCAAAGCAGGCCUACGCUCUGAAUACAUUAGCAUGGAAUAACACGAUAGGACUCUGGCCUAUCUUGUUGGUCUGUAGGACCGGAGUAAUGAUUAAGAGGGACAGUCGGGGGCAUUCGUAUUUCAUUGUCAAAGGUGAAAUUCUUGGAUUUAUGAAAGACGAACUACUGCGAAAGCAUUUGCCAAGGAUGUUUUCAUUAA
This 377-nucleotide ribosomal RNA is filed under the name uncultured eukaryote. RNAcentral's name for it is "partial 18S ribosomal RNA". It matches the Rfam family "Eukaryotic small subunit ribosomal RNA", at positions 592 to 976 of the family's 1831-position model. The record is from RNAcentral.